ACUCUGGGGUCGACUGCAGAUAAAACGUAUUUUAGAAAGCUCUUAACUGAUAUUAUUGACAAAAUUAAAAGCUAGGUGUUUUUGUUACGUUUUCUUGGGUUUUGUUUUGUUGGUUGGUUUUGGAGAGUUCUGUCAUCAUCAGUGUGUUCAGGUUUUCAAUCUUGCUGCACUGUUUUUUCUCUCCAGACUCAUCUCCCACCUGUACCGCUGCAAAGAGUGCACACGAAAACAAUUAACGUACAGAUCUGAGGUAGAGGAACAUGCACAGAAAACAACAUAACCAACAAUUACUGCAGUCCAGUAAAGUAAGCCUAAACAGGUGUGCUUGGGAAUUUGGCCUUAGUCUAAGUCUCACAAAUGAGGACCAAGACCAUGCCCUAUCUACAAGGAGGGAAGGAAAAUUAGUUGUGCAAGAAGGACGUGCAGUUCACUUCAAGAGAUCUGCUGGCUUGCUUGGCACGCACAUACUUGAAAAAGGAUUUUUGGGAAAGAGAAGGUUUCAAGCAGCGCUGGACUCAUGCCAAGAGGAAAUGACUGUUGCAGAUGUCCUACAGAUGUUAGUGAGGCUGUGCCUGACGGGAUUGGUGUUAGGGAG
Molecule: long non-coding RNA, 595 nt
Organism: Cygnus olor (mute swan)
Lineage: Eukaryota; Metazoa; Chordata; Aves; Anseriformes; Anatidae
Exons: 4
Source: RefSeq, a predicted model, not a curated record